This 148-nucleotide unclassified non-coding RNA is filed under the name uncultured fungus. Its description in RNAcentral is "sequence contains ITS1". Lineage: Eukaryota; Fungi. The record is from RNAcentral.
GUCUUUUUAUUGUCUCAACUAACUCUGUCAAACAAACAAGCGUAAACAUCAAGGCCUUGCGACCUUGUGCUAAUGUUGUGAGAUACUACGCAAGCGCAGCACUCGCAAAAGAUUUGUAAUGAUCCUUCCGCAGGUUCACCUACGGAAA